GCCGAAGUGGUGAAAUUGGCAGACGCACUGGACUCAAAAUCCAGCGUUAGUGAUAACAUGUCGGUUCGAGUCCGACCUUCGGCA
Molecule: transfer RNA, 84 nt
Filed under: Ruminiclostridium hungatei
Lineage: Bacteria; Bacillati; Bacillota; Clostridia; Eubacteriales; Oscillospiraceae
Description: Clostridium hungatei tRNA
Rfam family: tRNA
About the family: Transfer RNA (tRNA) molecules are approximately 80 nucleotides in length.
Source: Rfam by way of RNAcentral